RNAcentral lists this transfer RNA (71 nucleotides) under Phaeomonas parva. It matches the Rfam family "tRNA", at positions 6 to 65 of the family's 71-position model. Rfam says of the family: Transfer RNA (tRNA) molecules are approximately 80 nucleotides in length. Their secondary structure includes four short double-helical elements and three loops (D, anti-codon, and T loops). The record is from RNAcentral. Lineage: Eukaryota; Pinguiophyceae; Pinguiochrysidales; Pinguiochrysidaceae.
GUGUGGCCGAGCGGUUAAGGCGAUUGACUAGAAAUCAAUUGGGGCAACCCGCGCAGGUUCGAGUCCUGUCG